This 902-nucleotide ribosomal RNA is filed under the name Lactobacillus sp. B18. RNAcentral's name for it is "bacterial SSU rRNA". It matches the Rfam family "Bacterial small subunit ribosomal RNA", at positions 14 to 892 of the family's 1533-position model. RNAcentral also lists the same sequence under 1 other name. Lineage: Bacteria; Bacillati; Bacillota; Bacilli; Lactobacillales; Lactobacillaceae. The record is from RNAcentral.
UGAUUCUGGCUCAGGACGAACGCUGGCGGUGGGGCAAUACAUGCAAGUCGAACGAGCUUCCGUUGAAUGACGUGUUUGCACUGAUUUCAACAAUGAAGCGAGUGGCGAACUGGUGAGUAACACGUGGGGAAUCUACCCAGAAGCAGGGGAUAACACUUGGAAACAGGUGCUAAUACCGUAUAACAACAAAAUCCGCAUGGAUUUUGUUUGAAAGGUGGCUUCGGCUAUCACUUCUGGAUGAUCCCGCGGCGUAUUAGUUAGUUGGUGAGGUAAAGGCCCACCAAGACGAUGAUACGUAGCCGACCUGAGAGGGUAAUCGGCCACAUUGGGACUGAGACACGGCCCAAACUCCUACGGGAGGCAGCAGUAGGGAAUCUUCCACAAUGGACGAAAGUCUGAUGGAGCAAUGCCGCGUGAGUGAAGAAGGGUUUCGGCUCGUAAAACUCUGUUGUUAAAGAAGAACACCUUUGAGAAUAACUGUUCAAGGGUUGACGGUAUUUAACCAGAAAGCCACGGCUAACUACGUGCCAGCAGCCGCGGUAAUACGUAGGUGGCAAGCGUUGUCCGGAUUUAUUGGGCGUAAAGCGAGCGCAGGCGGUUUUUUAAGUCUGAUGUGAAAGCCUUCGGCUUAACCGGAGAAGUGCAUCGGAAACUGGGAGACUUGAGUGCAGAAGAGGACAGUGGAACUCCAUGUGUAGCGGUGGAAUGCGUAGAUAUAUGGAAGAACACCAGUGGCGAAGCGGCUGUCUAGUCUGUAACUGACGCUGAGCUCGAAAGCAUGGGUAGCGAACAGGAUAGAUACCCUGUAGUCCAUGCCGUAAACGAUGAGUGCUAGUGUGGAGGNUUCCGCCCUUCAGUGCUGCAGCUACGCAUAGCACUCCGCCUGGGGAGUACGACGCAAG